Molecule: ribosomal RNA, 385 nt
Filed under: uncultured Methanobacterium sp.
Lineage: Archaea; Methanobacteriati; Methanobacteriota; Methanobacteria; Methanobacteriales; Methanobacteriaceae
Description: bacterial SSU rRNA
Rfam family: Archaeal small subunit ribosomal RNA
Source: RNAcentral
GCAGCAGGCGCGAAAACUUUACAAUGCGAGCAAUCGUGAUAAGGGAACUCCGAGUGCCCGUAAAAUCGGGCUGUCCGCCAGUGUAAAUAACUGGUGAAGAAAGGGCCGGGCAAGACCGGUGCCAGCCGCCGCGGUAAUACCGGCGGCUCGAGUGGUGGCCACUAUUACUGGGCUUAAAGCGUUCGUAGCUGGUCUGUUAAGUCUCUGGGGAAAUCUUCCGGCUUAACCGGAAGGCGUCUCAGGGAUACUGACAGACUAGGGACCGGAAGAGGUGAGAGGUACUCCAGGGGUAGGAGUGAAAUCCUGUAAUCCUUGGGGGACCACCUGUGGCGAAGGCGUCUCACCAGGACGGCUCCGACAGUGAGGAACGAAAGCUGGGGGAGCA